CUGGCCAACAUGGUGAAACCCUGUCUCUACUAAAAAUACAAAAAUUAGCUGGCCGUGUUGGUGGGCACCUGUAAUCCCAGCUACUCGGGAGGCUGAGUCAGGAGAAUUACUUGAACCCACGAGGCAGAGGUUGCAGUGAGCUGAGAUCAUGCCAUUGCAUUUCAGCCUGGGCAACAAGAGUGAAAACUCUAAAAAACAAAACCAAACAAAAAAACCAUAUAGCAUUUACUAUGUGCAACACACUGUUCUAAACUUUGCAAAUGUGAACUCAUUUGAUCUUCAGAAGAUGCAGGGAAACGUAAAAACCUGCUUGAAACAGGAGCCACCAAAGAGAGAAGACCCAAGGGACAUCAUCAUCUGACCCCGGGCUCACUUUGCCGGAGGCGUGGGCACCUCUACAUCCCAAUCCUGGGUGUGCAGUACCGCUGUGUGCCUCCGGGGGCGCUGCACACAACACGAAGGGAGUCCUUGGACCUGAGGGGCCUGUGGCCUUGCUUUAAUUGGAGUCGGGCUUCUAUCACUGACAACAGAAGCCUGAGAAAUACCCCAUGCGCCUUAGCAGAACAUCAGUAGUUCAAGUACCGCAGACCCAGUGGUAUGAGGUAACUCUGGGCUUAAAAUGCAAACUUACUGAAAAUAGCCCUUCAUAAAGUGGCAGGGAGAAAGGUCCGUCCUCACCUUAUCAGGACAGUAACACCUGUGGUGCCAUCUGCCUGACCUCAGCCACGUAAGCUGCCUUUGGCCUGGGUCAGCUUCGUAAUCCAGUCAAGCCCAGGACCAAGAGGAAGGGGUGCCUUGAGGCAGCCCAGGCCACUUACCUCUUCCUGCAGGCCGCCCCCAACCACCUGCGCAGUGACCUCAUGCCCAGAGCUGGGGGCUUUGCUCUGCUCUCCAGGUCUGGGAAGAACUGGAUCUUGUAACUGGAGGUGGAGGGCCUGAAGGAAGCCCCAGAUCUCACCUGUAGGUCUUGACCAGCUUGUCGGCGUACAUGUACAUGACUAAAUCCUCAAGAAUCUGGUCCACACUAGCACUGAUGGGGUGCUCUGGGAUGCCCCCGCUCUGGGCAUACAUGACCAGCAUCUCAUGGCCUGUCAUGAAGUUCAGCAGAGCAUCAAACUGAGGACAGUAACCAAUCCACCACCAUACUGAUACAGGAAAUUCUCUGAAUCCUCCAUGGCUGACUGAGGUUGAGGGUGGUUGGCUACGGUAAUGGAAGCCCUGGCACCAGAAAGCAACUUCAAGAGAAAAUUGUCCAAUAGCGCCAGAGCCAGGGC
RNAcentral lists this long non-coding RNA (1274 nucleotides) under Pan troglodytes (chimpanzee). Its description in RNAcentral is "long non-coding RNA NONPTRT006164". The record is from RNAcentral. Lineage: Eukaryota; Metazoa; Chordata; Mammalia; Primates; Hominidae.